GCUCAAAUUUGAAAUCUGGUACCUUCGGUGCCCGAGUUGUAAUUUGGAGAGGGCAACUUUGGGGCCGUUCCUUGUCUAUGUUCCUUGGAACAGGACGUCAUAGAGGGUGAGAAUCCCGUGUGGCGAGGAGUGCGGUUCUUUGUAAAGUGCCUUCGAAGAGUCGAGUUGUUUGGGAAUGCAGCUCUAAGUGGGUGGUAAAUUCCAUCUAAAGCUAAAUAUUGGCGAGAGACCGAUAGCGAACAAGUACAGUGAUGGAAAGAUGAAAAGAACUUUGAAAAGAGAGUGAAAAAGUACGUGAAAUUGUUGAAAGGGAAGGGCAUUUGAUCAGACAUGGUGUUUUGUGCCCUCUGCUCCUUGUGGGUAGGGGAAUCUCGCAUUUCACUGGGCCAGCAUCAGUUUUGGUGGCAGGAUAAAUCCAUAGGAAUGUAGCUUGCCUCGGUAAGUAUUAUAGCCUGUGGGAAUACUGCCAGCUGGGACUGAGGACUGCGACGUAAGUCAAGGAUGCUGGCAUAAUGGUUAUAUGCCGCCCGUCUUG
Molecule: ribosomal RNA, 535 nt
Filed under: Saccharomyces cerevisiae (brewer's yeast)
Lineage: Eukaryota; Fungi; Ascomycota; Saccharomycetes; Saccharomycetales; Saccharomycetaceae
Description: partial large subunit ribosomal RNA
Rfam family: Eukaryotic large subunit ribosomal RNA
Source: RNAcentral